AAACCGCAUGGUUUUGAUUUGAAAGGCGCUUUCGGGUGUCGCUGAUGGAUGGACCCGCGGUGCAUUAGCUAGUUGGUGAGGUAACGGCUCACCAAGGCCACGAUGCAUAGCCGACCUGAGAGGGUGAUCGGCCACAUUGGGACUGAGACACGGCCCAAACUCCUACGGGAGGCAGCAGUAGGGAAUCUUCGGCAAUGGACGAAAGUCUGACCGAGCAACGCCGCGUGAGUGAAGAAGGUUUUCGGAUCGUAAAACUCUGUUGUUAGAGAAGAACAAGGAUGAGAGUAACUGUUCAUCCCUUGACGGUAUCUAACCAGAAAGCCACGGCUAACUACGUGCCAGCAGCCGCGGUAAUACGUAGGUGGCAAGCGUUGUCCGGAUUUAUUGGGCGUAAAGCGAGCGCAGGCGGUUUCUUAAGUCUGAUGUGAAAGCCCCCGGCUCAACCGGGGAGGGUCAUUGGAAACUGGGAGACUUGAGUGCAGAAGAGGAGAGUGGAAUUCCAUGUGUAGCGGUGAAAUGCGUAGAUAUAUGGAGGAACACCAGUGGCGAAGGCGGCUCUCUGGUCUGUAACUGACGCUGAGGCUCGAAAGCGUGGGGAGCAAACAGGAUUAGAUACCCUGGUAGUCCACGCCGUAAACGAUGAGUGCUAAGUGUUGGAGGGUUUCCGCCCUUCAGUGCUGCAGCUAACGCAUUAAGCACUCCGCCUGGGGAGUACGACCGCAAGGUUGAAACUCAAAGGAAUUGACGGGGGCCCGCACAAGCGGUGGAGCAUGUGGUUUAAUUCGAAGCAACGCGAAGAACCUUACCAGGUCUUGACAUCCUUUGACCACUCUAGAGAUAGAGCUUCCCCUUCGGGGGC
This 859-nucleotide ribosomal RNA is filed under the name Enterococcus faecium. Its description in RNAcentral is "bacterial SSU rRNA". It matches the Rfam family "Bacterial small subunit ribosomal RNA", at positions 183 to 1027 of the family's 1533-position model. Lineage: Bacteria; Bacillati; Bacillota; Bacilli; Lactobacillales; Enterococcaceae. The record is from RNAcentral.